AACGAACGCUGGCGGCAGGCCUAACACAUGCAAGUCGAACGGGCGUAGCAAUACGUCAGUGGCAGACGGGUGAGUAACGCGUGGGAACGUACCUUUUGGUUCGGAACAACCCAGGGAAACUUGGGCUAAUACCGGAUAAGCCCUUACGGGGAAAGAUUUAUCGCCGAAAGAUCGGCCCGCGUCUGAUUAGCUAGUUGGUGUGGUAACGGCGCACCAAGGCGACGAUCAGUAGCUGGUCUGAGAGGAUGAUCAGCCACAUUGGGACUGAGACACGGCCCAAACUCCUACGGGAGGCAGCAGUGGGGAAUAUUGGACAAUGGGCGCAAGCCUGAUCCAGCCAUGCCGCGUGAGUGAUGAAGGCCCUAGGGUUGUAAAGCUCUUUUACCCGGGAAGAUAAUGACUGUACCGGGAGAAUAAGCCCCGGCUAACUUCGUGCCAGCAGCCGCCGC
This 449-nucleotide ribosomal RNA is filed under the name uncultured bacterium. RNAcentral describes it as "bacterial SSU rRNA". It matches the Rfam family "Bacterial small subunit ribosomal RNA", at positions 29 to 521 of the family's 1533-position model. The record is from RNAcentral.